UACGGAGGGGGCUAGCGUUGUUCGGAAUUACUGGGCGUAAAGGGCUCGUAGGCGGCCAACUAAGUCGGAUGUGAAAUCCCCAGGCUUAACCUGGGAACUGCAUCCGAUACUGGAUGGCUUGAAUCCGGGAGAGGGAUGCAGAAUUCCAGGUGUAGCGGUGAAAUGCGUAGAUAUCUGGAGGAAUGCCGGUGGCGAAGGCGGCAUCCUGGACCGGCAUUGACGCUGAGUGAGCGAAAGCCAGGGGAGCAAACGGG
Molecule: ribosomal RNA, 254 nt
Filed under: uncultured bacterium
Lineage: Bacteria
Description: partial 16S ribosomal RNA
Rfam family: Bacterial small subunit ribosomal RNA
Source: RNAcentral